CCGAUGAGUGAGCCCUAAUUUUCGCCCAUUUCAUAUUUUUACAAAAUUGGAGCUUAAAUUCAUUGUUAAAUGCAUGUAUGUGUGUUAUAAUGCUUUGAGAAUCAUGUUUAGUUGGUAAAUAGCUUGAGUUUGUUGAGAUUUGUUGAAAAUUUCUUGAGAAUUUUGGUGUUUUUUUUUUUUUUUUUUAAUUUUUGGCGAAUUUUCGGUGGUUUGGUGGUUUGGGCAUUGUUGUUUGAUUGGGUUGGACAUUAUUGUUGAGUUCUUGGGCAUUGUUGUUUGACGAGGGUGUCGUCGUGACCCCGUCGUAUGAAGCCCCCAUUGC
This 322-nucleotide long non-coding RNA is filed under the name Salvia miltiorrhiza (redroot sage). RNAcentral's name for it is "long non-coding RNA (SMIL_LNC000248)". Lineage: Eukaryota; Viridiplantae; Streptophyta; Magnoliopsida; Lamiales; Lamiaceae. The record is from RNAcentral.